GAUGAAAAACGUAGCGAAAUGCGAUAAGUAAUGCGAAUUGCAGAAUUCCGUGAGUCAUCGAAUCUUUGAACGCACAUUGCGCCCUCUGGUAUUCCGGAGGGCAUGCCUGUCUGAGCGUCAUUGUCAACCCUCAAGCUCAGCUUGCUGUUGGGUCCCCGUCGUUGCUUUAACGGCGGACCCGAAAGGUAAUGGCAGAGUCCGUGAGACCCUAGACGCAGCGAGCUUCUAGCACGCGUCUGGACGUUUUUCGGGCUCGGUCUUAACUAGAUGAUAACUUCCGAUUGACCUCAGAUCAGGUAGGGAUACCCGCUGAACUUAAGCAUAUCAAUAAGCGGAGGA
Molecule: unclassified non-coding RNA, 339 nt
Filed under: soil metagenome
Description: partial contains 5.8S ribosomal RNA, internal transcribed spacer 2, and large subunit ribosomal RNA
Rfam family: 5.8S ribosomal RNA (bases 1-120)
Source: RNAcentral